UACGGAGGGGGCGAGCGUUAUUCGGAAUUAUUGGGCGUAAAGGCGCGUAGGCGGCCGUCUAAGUCAAAGGUGAAAUCCCUCGGCUCAACUGAGGAACUGCCUUUAAAACUGGAUGCUUGAGGCCGGGAGGGGGUAGCGGAAUUCCCAGUGUAGCGGUGAAAUGCGUAGAUAUCUGGAGGAACACCGGUGGCGAAGGCGGCAUCCUGGACCGAUACUGACGCUGAGGAGCGAAAGCCAGGGGAGCAAAGCGGG
This 252-nucleotide ribosomal RNA is filed under the name uncultured bacterium. Its description in RNAcentral is "partial 16S ribosomal RNA". It matches the Rfam family "Bacterial small subunit ribosomal RNA", at positions 524 to 777 of the family's 1533-position model. The record is from RNAcentral.